CAGUAGCCGCGGGAAUACAGAGGGUGCGAGCGUUAAUUGGAUUUACUGGGCGUAAAGCGUGCGUAGGCGGCUUCUUAAGUCGGAUGUGAAAUCCCUGAGCUUAACUUAGGAAUUGCAUUCGAUACUGGGAAGCUAGAGUAUGGGAGAGGAUGGUAGAAUUCCAGGUGUAGCGGUGAAAUGCGUAGAGAUCUGGAGGAAUACCGAUGGCGAAGGCAGCCAUCUGGCCUAAUACUGACGCUGAGGUACGAAAGCAUGGGGAGCAAACAGGAUUAGAUACCCCGGUAGUCCCUGUCUCUUAUAC
Molecule: ribosomal RNA, 301 nt
Filed under: uncultured bacterium
Lineage: Bacteria
Description: partial 16S ribosomal RNA
Rfam family: Bacterial small subunit ribosomal RNA
Source: RNAcentral